Molecule: long non-coding RNA, 1530 nt
Organism: Peromyscus leucopus (white-footed mouse)
Lineage: Eukaryota; Metazoa; Chordata; Mammalia; Rodentia; Cricetidae
Exons: 2
Source: RefSeq, a predicted model, not a curated record
GGGCAGGUUGAGCAUCAUUUUUCUACUGAGACUGAGGUCUUUUCUAUCUGUGUGUCUCUUUAUUCUGGUUUGUGAAGAAAACUUGGAAGAGUAAACACCGAGACAGACGUCCAUGGCCCAGGGUCCAGAGGAAAGCCACUGAGGACCAACAGCUCGCUAGUGGGUGGAGGGACCACUCAAGGACCCUGCUCCUUUCUCUUCUAGCCAGUGUAAGGCGCGGGCCGCUGCAGCCUCCUUGGCAUCUGCUCAUGACUUCAUGCCUGUCUUCAGAGCAGCCGGCCUCUGAAGACAGCGGAUUCUCUUCCAUGCUGGCUCACAGGGUGAUCCUGCCACGGUAUCUGCUGGCCCGGCACCAUGGAAAUCCGACAAGCCCGCCAACAGAUGGGCUUCUCUCUCCUUUCCUUUAUUAGGGUCAGAAAGAGGCCCGGAGGAGGAGGAGGAGGAGGAGGAGGAGGAGGAGGCCGCAAGCGAAGACGCGGUGAUGUACAGAGAGGGCUCGUGAAACUCACGCUUUGGGGAGAACAAUACAGCGUGGGUGUCAUUUUCAGGUGUGGUAGGGUGACAACUUAAAUCGUCCUGUUUCCCUGCUCCGUUUGGGCUCCGUUUCCUCUCUUGCAUAAUGCACACGCCAGGUUCUUUGUGCUGUCCUUAGCAGAGAGCCCUGGAUAUCUCAGCCCGGAGAGCCGUGGGGCUCUCUAAUUUCUAAGUCAACUAGAGAUUUCACUGCGUAGAUGCAUUUUUAUAUCUUAUAUUUUUAUUGCUACACCAAUACAUCGAUGUUAAUGGCGAAUUUUAUCUUACUUUUUGAAACAGAGCCUUCCUUGCUGAGUAGCCCAGGCUGGGCCGGAACUCACUCUAUAGCUCAGGCUGGCCUCAAGCUUGUGGCUUUCCUGCUUCAGGCUCCUGAAUGUCAGGAUUACAAGAAUUUGUCACUAGACCUUUUGAUACCGUUUAUAAUCCACUGCUUUCCAAAUACACUUUCACCAUCUUUGGGUUAACACUAGAUAAUUUUGUUUAAUGGUAAACUAUAAUAAGAGUAUUUCUCAGGGAGAAGCCAUGGUUUUGGUUCCAAACUCAGAAUAAACCAGACACUGAAGAGAAUUCUGGAAUGGACUCCGUUUAAAAAAAUAGACCAAUAUGCAAAACUAGCAUGCCAAACUAACUGACCAACAAACAUGCAAUGAAUAGUAAAGAUUUGGGGUAGAAAUGUGGAUUCUUGUAGUGAUUGGACAAUGAUGACUGAAGCUGCAGUACUGACGUCACCUAAUGUCUUCACCGCUGUGCCCUCAUCUGUGAAACUGGGGCAUAAUAGCAAUGAUGGCCAAGGGGCUGGGGAGAUGCCCAGGAGGAAAAAUGCUUGCCUGGCAAGCACGAAGAUCUACGUUUGAGUCUCAGCACACAUGGCAAAAGCCUUUGCCUGUAAUUCCAGUGCCAGCCAGGCAGAGAGAACAGAAUACCUGGGACCUAUGCUAAGUGGUGAGCCCAGGUACCAAAUGAGAGGCCUGAUUCAAAAAAUAAGAUGGAGCAAAA